This 293-nucleotide unclassified non-coding RNA is filed under the name Pithoascus nidicola. RNAcentral describes it as "sequence contains 18S rRNA gene, ITS1, 5.8S rRNA gene, ITS2 and 28S rRNA gene". The stretch from base 1 to 113 matches the Rfam family "5.8S ribosomal RNA", at positions 42 to 154 of the family's 154-position model. The record is from RNAcentral. Lineage: Eukaryota; Fungi; Ascomycota; Sordariomycetes; Microascales; Microascaceae.
AACGCAGCGAAAUGCGAUAAGUAAUGUGAAUUGCAGAAUUCAGUGAAUCAUCGAAUCUUUGAACGCACAUUGCGCCCGGCAGCAAUCUGCCGGGCAUGCCUGUCCGAGCGUCAUUUCUGCCCUCGAGCGCGGUUGCCCUUCGGGGCGCCGCCGCCCGGUGUUGGGGCUCUGCGGCAACGCAGGCCCCGAAAUGAAGUGGCGGUCCCGCCGCGGCGCCCCCUGCGUAGUAUAAUGCCUCGCAUCGGGUCCCGGCGUCGGCCAGCCGUCGAACCUCUCUCUUGAUGGUUUGACCU